GAUGAACGCUGGCGGCGUGCCUAAUACAUGCAAGUCGAGCGAACAGAUGAGGAGCUUGCUCCUCUGACGUUAGCGGCGGACGGGUGAGUAACACGUGGAUAACCUACCUAUAAGACUGGGAUAACUUCGGGAAACCGGAGCUAAUACCGGAUAAUAUAUUGAACCGCAUGGUUCAAUAGUGAAAGACGGUUUUGCUGUCACUUAUAGAUGGAUCCGCGCCGCAUUAGCUAGUUGGUAAGGUAACGGCUUACCAAGGCAACGAUGCGUAGCCGACCUGAGAGGGUGAUCGGCCACACUGGAACGGAGACACGGUCCAGACUCCUAAGGGAGGCAGCAGUAGGGAAUCUUCCGCAAUGGGCGAAAGCCUGACGGAGCAACGCCGAGUGAGUGAUGAAGGUCUUCGGAUCGUAAAACUCUGUUAUUAGGGAAGAACAAAUGUGUAAGUAAAUAUGCACGUCUUGACGGUACCUAAUCAGAAAGCCACGGCUAACUACGUG
RNAcentral lists this ribosomal RNA (497 nucleotides) under uncultured bacterium. RNAcentral's name for it is "partial 16S ribosomal RNA". It matches the Rfam family "Bacterial small subunit ribosomal RNA", at positions 28 to 507 of the family's 1533-position model. The record is from RNAcentral.